Molecule: long non-coding RNA, 2336 nt
Organism: Cydia fagiglandana
Lineage: Eukaryota; Metazoa; Arthropoda; Insecta; Lepidoptera; Tortricidae
Exons: 3
Source: RefSeq, a predicted model, not a curated record
AAUAAUGCAUAGGGCUCCCUAUUUGAAGCAGCGUUCCUGCGCAGCUUUUACAGCUGCCCGCCACCGCUGUUGAGCAGCCAGGAGCUCUGACGGGUCAAGCGGCUGCCUGGGUUCUUCGGGCAGGAGCAGCGCCCUGUACAGCCUGAGUUGUAGCCUCAGCCUGUGGUCGGAAAGGCUACAACGCUGCUCUGGGGGCUGCUCUGGCAGCAGCUCCGCCAGUGGCUCCUGCUGGCUCAGCAGCGGUGUUUGCUCAUUGUUUCUGUGAAUAUAUCAAUCAUUAAUGUUUGAGCUCCCAGUAUGAAUAAAAAUAAAACAAUAAAUACAUGUUAUGACAAGCUAGGUGUUAGGCACUUAAUAUUUGCUAAACUUUGUUAAAUGACUUGUCUACUAAUUACAUAAACAAACAGUAUCAUAAAUUAAUUAAACUAAGUAGAAUUCUAUAACUUCGGACAAAUUUAUCACCUUAUUUCAAAGAGACUUGUGUGUCAACCUUAUUUUUAGAACGUAGUAACAGUGCAAAUGAUAUAAAAGCUUGUAAGAAACUUACAUUUUGGUACACGGCAUAAGCCAUUCCAGGCAUCCGCAUGGGGUCCUCUGAAUGCUGCAAGUCAUAAUUAAGUAUUAAACCAUUAAGUAGUCAGUAACAUUAGUAUCAGGUUAUCAACGUAAAACUGAUUCAACCAUUCCAAAUGCAUCCCCACAAGUAUUUCAGAGGUUAGUUGGACAACACACGCUGUAAGGCAAUGUUAAUUUAAGCCAGCACAAACAAUAUCGGCAGCAUUACACAUCCCAAGUGCAGUAUGAUAUUAAAAUAAGUAGGUAUAGGUGCCAAAUCGAACCACACGACAAUAAAUACCUUUAAAACCAUCGUGUUUACGUCAGCUAUAAAAAAAGAAGUACAUUAUAUUAAUUUUAAUGACAAUUAUAUUACUACAACAAGAAAACUAAUAGUGAAUUGUUAACACGUUCACUGUCAGGCCAAAAUCCAUGCCAUUCGCUACAUGUCGGCGUUAAAACAAACAACUAUACCGGACUCCCCCGUGGAGUCCAAUCGCGCACUUGACAAAUAAACAACGCUGCAUGUCAAGAACUCCGCUCGGGAGUUCAUUUGUUUCUUUACCGUAUGUCGUCGACUCCGCUAAGGAGUCCAGGGCUGUCACAGACCAAAAUUGCAGAGACCAAGCAUUUUUAAAUUUAUAACACAAUACAUUCAGGCUGCGUUCAGAAAGAAGCUCGCCGUUCUAUUGGCCUUGAUGGCGUCGCGGGCGGGCGGGCGGUCUAGUGUAGUGUGCUCAGCAGUGGGACGUAUAUAGGCUGACAGGAUGAUGAUUAUAUUGAUUAUACAUAUCGCGUCUGCGGCCAGCGUAAUGUGGCCGCUACACGGGCGCGAUUAAGAGUGAGAAAUAACGAUGUUAGAAUGAGACAUCAGCUGUCAAAUUAGUCGCGUGACUUUUUUGUGGCGCACGCGAUUUGAUAAUGAGUCGAGGACAUUUCUUUUUACGAAAUCUUAAUUUAUUAGGGAAAAUCUCAGAGAAAAUAAAUGAUGUUGUUUUUUGCAAACAAAUAAUAAUACAUGCUAUUCAUUGAACAACGUUAUGCAACAUUUUAUUCGGUUUCCGAAUGAGAAUUUUGUGCGUCUGUGCCCAGCCUAAUAUCGGCAUCGUGAACCAAACGUCAAAUGUGACAUUUCCCAUACUCAAAUAAAAUAACGAAUCGUGCGCACCAUGGGCAACUGGUAAUUAAAGAAGUGUGUUUAAGUAAAAGGUGGAUUUUGAAUAAAUAUUUUAUUUUAUAGAAUCUGUACAAUAUAAUUAACAAAAAUAACCCUUAAUUUCAUGUAGGACAGAAUUUAUGACAUUGUUGUUACACGAAUUUUGAGUAGUUUACCUGAGAAAGUAAAAGGCAUGCAGUUGGAAUAGAUUUGUAAAUGGGGAUUUGAUGGUACUUCCAGUCACAGCAGAUAUAAACAGAGAAUCGAUGGCAGUGAACAAAAUGACUCGAGCAUUUUCAUGACCACUUUAGUGUGAAGUGUUCGGCGUUCAGGGCUUAUAAUGAUAACACAAGAGUCGAGUAAGUACUGAAUAUAUUGAUAGAAAGUGCUGGCCUUAUAUACUAAGGUUAAAACAGGCUUAAUCGAGUGGAAGUUAUGGCAAUGGUCAUUAACCAUUGUAUAGCAAAUUACAGUAAGUCAAGGUUUAUGGCAUCGUUAACUUAAUGUUCUGUAAAGUAGUAAAAUACAUACACUCGGCAUAGGUAUCAAGUAUCAGCUGCAUCAAGCAGCAGUGUAUCAGCUGAUAGCAGCUGUGUAUGAACUGACUACACUACAGCUUUCCCGU